AUGGAGAAUUGAUGAACGUUGUUCAUCAAUAUAAGUUUCCGUGUUUCGUUUUGUUCAGUUUUGAGAGAACUAUCUCUCAUAUAUAAAUGUAUGUUCUUUGAAAACUAGAUAACAGUGUAGCUCAUAUUUUUUAAUUUUUAGUUU
RNAcentral lists this unclassified non-coding RNA (144 nucleotides) under Bacillus thuringiensis. RNAcentral describes it as "partial 16S-23S ribosomal RNA intergenic spacer". The record is from RNAcentral. Lineage: Bacteria; Bacillati; Bacillota; Bacilli; Caryophanales; Bacillaceae.